This is a long non-coding RNA of Artibeus jamaicensis (Jamaican fruit-eating bat), 572 nucleotides long. RefSeq lists it as uncharacterized. NCBI's taxonomy places the organism in Eukaryota, Metazoa, Chordata, Mammalia, Chiroptera, Phyllostomidae. The record is from RefSeq and is a predicted model, not a curated record. The transcript is spliced from 3 exons.
UCUCCUAGGUCAGGUAACAGCGACAAGGGGCACAAUGCAGGACUACCCUGCCCUCUGGCCAGCGUCACCUGGAGAGCUGGACCCAGCUGGUGGCCAGUGACCUGAUAGGCUGCCACCGAAGUUCAGCAAUGGCUUUGCACUUGCUGGGAGGUGAAAGGCCUUCCUGCGCCUACAGGACAGACCUCACUUCAGCAAAGGUUUAAAAAGUGGCAGCCAACGGGCCCCAGGAAGGAGGCUUGUUUAUAACAUGAGAGCUGAGCAAGACGGUUCCAUCUCACCUGGGAGUGAGCGCAUCAGGGACCUCGGGCUCCAGAGAGACCACAGGACCACAACCCUCUUUGUCCCUUCCUGGUCCUCCCCGAGGUUCUUUGGCUCUUUCUUCUACUCAGACCUCAUCUCUUCUGGAAGCUUCUCAGACAGAGCCUGCUCCUGACACUCGUCUCUCUGGCCCAUCCAUCUGCACGUCCUAUCUCCCCGCUGCCAAAUGCACGGUGCCGGCCAUUCAUUCGGGAAGCCAGCUGGCCUUGUGCUUGGAAAGUCUGCAGUCCUUGUUUUAUGCUUUCUCGUCCUUC